This is a small nucleolar RNA of Neltuma alba, 76 nucleotides long. RefSeq annotates it as small nucleolar RNA U31b. The transcript has a single exon. The record is from RefSeq and is a predicted model, not a curated record. Lineage: Eukaryota; Viridiplantae; Streptophyta; Magnoliopsida; Fabales; Fabaceae.
GGAUUUGAUGAUAAUUUUUGACACCCAGUCUUACGUGCUCUUUUGGUGCACUCUGGUGAUAUUAAUUGUCUGAUCC